AGAGUUUGAUCCUGGCUCAGGAUGAACGCUGGCGGCGUGCCUAAUACAUGCAAGUCGAACGGAGAAUGUAGCAAUAUGUUCUUAGUGGCGAACGGGUGAGUAACGCGUUGGUGACCUGCCCCGAAGAGAGGGAUAACAGUUCGAAAGGACUGCUAAUACCCCAUGUGGUUAUUGGGAUUAGAUGCCCGAUAACUAAACGGAGAAAUUCGCUUCGGGAGGGACCUGCGUCCCAUCAGCUAGUUGGUGAGGUAACGGCUCACCAAGGCUAUGACGGGUAGGGGACCUGAGAGGGUGGCCCCCCACAUUGGCACUGAAAUACGGGCCAAACACCUACGGGUGGCAGCAGUAGGGAAUAUUGGUUAACCUGCGAAAGCGGGAACCAGCAACGCCGCGUGCGCGAUGAAGGCCUUCGGGUUGUAAAGCGCUUUUUGGAGGGAUGAGGAAGGACAGUACCUCCAGAAUAAGCCUCGGCUAACUACGUGCCAGCAGCCGCGGUAAAACGUAGGAGGCAAGCGUUAUUCGGAUUUACUGGGCGUAAAGCGUGUGCAGGCGGUUCAGAAAGUUGGAUGUGAAAGCUCCUGGCUUAACUAGGAGAGGUCGUUCAAUACUUCUGGACUAGAGGAUGAGAGAGGGAGGUGGAAUUCCUGGUGUAGCGGUGAAAUGCGUAGAGAUCAGGAAGAACACCGGUGGCGAAGGCGCUCUGCUAGGCCGCAACUGACACUGAGGGACGAAAGCUAGGGGAGCGAAUGGGAUUAGAUACCCCAGUAGUCCUAGCUGUAAACGAUGGAUACUAGGCGUGG
RNAcentral lists this ribosomal RNA (800 nucleotides) under uncultured bacterium. RNAcentral's name for it is "bacterial SSU rRNA". It matches the Rfam family "Bacterial small subunit ribosomal RNA", at positions 8 to 825 of the family's 1533-position model. The record is from RNAcentral.